Molecule: ribosomal RNA, 621 nt
Filed under: uncultured Alphaproteobacteria bacterium
Lineage: Bacteria; Pseudomonadati; Pseudomonadota; Alphaproteobacteria
Description: bacterial SSU rRNA
Rfam family: Bacterial small subunit ribosomal RNA
Source: RNAcentral
UCGGGGUCAGCGGCGGACGGGUGAGUAACGCGUGGGAACGUGCCUUCUGGUUCGGAAUAACCCUGGGAAACUAGGGCUAAUACCGGAUACGCCCUUUUGGGGAAAGGUUUACUGCCGGAAGAUCGGCCCGCGUCUGAUUAGCUAGUUGGUGGGGUAACGGCCUACCAAGGCGACGAUCAGUAGCUGGUCUGAGAGGAUGAUCAGCCACACUGGGACUGAGACACGGCCCAGACUCCUACGGGAGGCAGCAGUGGGGAAUAUUGGACAAUGGGCGCAAGCCUGAUCCAGCCAUGCCGCGUGAGUGAUGAAGGCCUUAGGGUUGUAAAGCUCUUUUAUCCGGGACGAUAAUGACGGUACCGGAGGAAUAAGCCCCGGCUAACUUCGCGCCAGCAGCCGCGGUAAUACGAAGGGGGCUAGCGUUGCUCGGAAUCACUGGGCGUAAAGGGCGCGUAGGCGGCGUUUUAAGUCGGGGGUGAAAGCCUGUGGCUCAACCACAGAAUGGCCUUCGAUACUGGGACGCUUGAGUAUGGUAGCGGUUGGUGGAACUGCGAGUGUAGAGGUGAAAUUCGUAGAUAUUCGCAAGAACACCGGUGGCGAAGGCGGCCAACUGGACCAUUACUG